This 608-nucleotide long non-coding RNA is filed under the name Ananas comosus (pineapple). RNAcentral describes it as "long non-coding RNA (ACOM_LNC029197)". The record is from RNAcentral. Lineage: Eukaryota; Viridiplantae; Streptophyta; Magnoliopsida; Poales; Bromeliaceae.
AAAUACUCAGUUUAUAUAGACUUGUUGGUCGAUUGGGAUCAGAUUGCUCAGUUUAAUAACAUAGCGGUCGUUUGAAAUAGGUUGAGGUUAAGUUUAAUUUUAAUUUGCUCAGUUUAACGACAUGGAGGUUAAAAGGAGUUUAAUUUUAAUUUGCUAAGUUUAGCGACAUGGCAGUCAAAAGAGUUUGAAGUUGAUUUGCUCAGUUUAACGACUUGGCUGUCAAAUUUUCAGUUUAAUGAAUUAACAGUCAUUUGUUUAGUUUAACGACUUGACGGUCAUAUCUGAACUUGAUUUGCUCAGUUUAGCGACUUGGCGGUUGAUUGAAGUUGAGAUACUUAGUUUAGCGACAUGGCGGUCGGUUUGAGUUGUGGUGCUCAGUUUAAUGACAUGGUGGUCGAUUAAAAUUGAGAUGCUCAGUUUAGCGACAUGGGGGUCGGUUUGAGUUGUGGUGCUCAGUUUAAUGACAUGGCGGUCGGCUUGGAUUUUGGUGUUCAGUUUAUCGACAUGGCGGUCGGUUUAAGCAUUGGUGCUCAGUUUGUCGACAAGGCGGUAGGAUUGUGUUUGAGGUGCUCAGUUCAAUGACAUGGCGGUCGGUUUGAAUUGUGGUG